This 1372-nucleotide ribosomal RNA is filed under the name uncultured bacterium. RNAcentral describes it as "bacterial SSU rRNA". It matches the Rfam family "Bacterial small subunit ribosomal RNA", at positions 28 to 1381 of the family's 1533-position model. The record is from RNAcentral.
GAUGAACGCUGGCGGCGUGCCUAAUACAUGCAAGUCGAGCGAACGGACGAGAAGCUUGCUUCUCUGAUGUUAGCGGCGGACGGGUGAGUAACACGUGGAUAACCUACCUAUAAGACUGGGAUAACUUCGGGAAACCGGAGCUAAUACCGGAUAAUAUUUUGAACCGCAUGGUUCAAAAGUGAAAGACGGUCUUGCUGUCACUUAUAGAUGGAUCCGCGCUGCAUUAGCUAGUUGGUAAGGUAACGGCUUACCAAGGCAACGAUGCAUAGCCGACCUGAGAGGGUGAUCGGCCACACUGGAACUGAGACACGGUCCAGACUCCUACGGGAGGCAGCAGUAGGGAAUCUUCCGCAAUGGGCGAAAGCCUGACGGAGCAACGCCGCGUGAGUGAUGAAGGUCUUCGGAUCGUAAAACUCUGUUAUUAGGGAAGAACAUAUGUGUAAGUAACUGUGCACAUCUUGACGGUACCUAAUCAGAAAGCCACGGCUAACUACGUGCCAGCAGCCGCGGUAAUACGUAGGUGGCAAGCGUUAUCCGGAAUUAUUGGGCGUAAAGCGCGCGUAGGCGGUUUUUUAAGUCUGAUGUGAAAGCCCACGGCUCAACCGUGGAGGGUCAUUGGAAACUGGAAAACUUGAGUGCAGAAGAGGAAAGUGGAAUUCCAUGUGUAGCGGUGAAAUGCGCAGAGAUAUGGAGGAACACCAGUGGCGAAGGCGACUUUCUGGUCUGUAACUGACGCUGAUGUGCGAAAGCGUGGGGAUCAAACAGGAUUAGAUACCCUGGUAGUCCACGCCGUAAACGAUGAGUGCUAAGUGUUAGGGGGUUUCCGCCCCUUAGUGCUGCAGCUAACGCAUUAAGCACUCCGCCUGGGGAGUACGACCGCAAGGUUGAAACUCAAAGGAAUUGACGGGGACCCGCACAAGCGGUGGAGCAUGUGGUUUAAUUCGAAGCAACGCGAAGAACCUUACCAAAUCUUGACAUCCUUUGACAACUCUAGAGAUAGAGCCUUCCCCUUCGGGGGACAAAGUGACAGGUGGUGCAUGGUUGUCGUCAGCUCGUGUCGUGAGAUGUUGGGUUAAGUCCCGCAACGAGCGCAACCCUUAAGCUUAGUUGCCAUCAUUAAGUUGGGCACUCUAAGUUGACUGCCGGUGACAAACCGGAGGAAGGUGGGGAUGACGUCAAAUCAUCAUGCCCCUUAUGAUUUGGGCUACACACGUGCUACAAUGGACAAUACAAAGGGCAGCGAAACCGCGAGGUCAAGCAAAUCCCAUAAAGUUGUUCUCAGUUCGGAUUGUUGUCUGCAACUCGACUACAUGAAGCUGGAAUCGCUAGUAAUCGUAGAUCAGCAUGCUACGGUGAAUACGUUCCCGGGUCU